RNAcentral lists this long non-coding RNA (1005 nucleotides) under Salvator merianae (Argentine black and white tegu). Its description in RNAcentral is "lncRNA (ENSSMRG00000011873.1)". The record is from RNAcentral. Lineage: Eukaryota; Metazoa; Chordata; Lepidosauria; Squamata; Teiidae.
CUCCCUCCGCGGCCGCCUGCCUGCCGUGGCGGAGCUCUGCGCGCCACGUGCCCGGGCAACGCCGGGCCUCCUCGGGGACCUGGGCGAGGUCCUCGUCUCCUUCCCCCUUUCUCCGUCGCCGUCUUCUUUUUCUCUCCUCGUCCCCUUUCUCCCGUAUCUGCGCGGCGCGAGGAGGAGGACCGCGGGACGGUGGGUGCCAGGCGAAGGCAGCCGGGCGCCCGGGGGGAGCCGGCGCUCUUCCUCAGCCCCUCCGCUCGGCACCUGGGCGCAGGGGACGUGCCCAGGCAGCGGAGCGCAUCUCUUCGGCGGAGGCGCCCGGCCGGCGCGCCCUCCUCGGCAUCCGAGGGGCCAAACUCUUUCCCAGUGGAGCCNUUCGCCCAUCUCGGGGGCACCCUCUGGCCACCUUUUGUGGGGGAGGGAAAGGAAGAAAAGACGGGCUGCCGCUUCCCCUGGCUUUCGCCUCCUCGCCCCCCACCCCACCCCCGGCCGGGCCACCCCUCCUCCUUGAAAAUCCCCUGCAGCCACCGCGGAAGGGGUUAACCUCGGGCAGGGCGGCCGACGGUCUUGGCUGCGUGCGCCCACAUUGUUCGAGGAUUNCCCCAGAGGGGGCAGGAUUUACGCUUCAAGGGAAGGAGAGGUGGAAUCCGAAAGGGGUCGGUUGCGCCUUUAGCGCCUUGGUUUGCGUUGGNUUUUUUGCUUUUAAUUCCGCUUAGGAAGCUUAGAAACAGCGUCUCGGCCUGCUCCCCCCCCCCGGGUAAACAACAUGAGGGGAUUUAACGCGAGUGGGGCGAACGGGUCCCACAGACCGCUCUCCGUGCCCGCGCCGAACGCGCCUCGACUCCUCGACCUGCAGCUCCUGGGGGGAGCGGGGCGCUCCGUCCGACGUGGCGUACCGGGGAGGGGGUGGGGUGGGGGGCAGAGCCGCCUGUGGCCCGCCUCCCUGCUUAUCCAUCCCUGUGUGGUCCCCUCGGUUUCCCGGUGGUCGCCGGCACACGGAGCUGUCUG